Molecule: unclassified non-coding RNA, 336 nt
Filed under: soil metagenome
Description: partial contains 5.8S ribosomal RNA, internal transcribed spacer 2, and large subunit ribosomal RNA
Rfam family: 5.8S ribosomal RNA (bases 1-120)
Source: RNAcentral
GAUGAAGAACGCAGCGAAAUGCGAUAAGUAAUGUGAAUUGCAGAAUUCAGUGAAUCAUCGAAUCUUUGAACCCACAUUGCGCCCGCCAGUAUUCUGGCGGGCAUGCCUGUUCGAGCGUCAUUUCAACCAUCAAGCCCCCGGCUUGUGUUGGGGACCUGCGGCUGCCGCAGGCCCUGAAAACCAGUGGCGGGCUCGCUGUCACACCGAGCGUAGUAGAUUUUCAUCUCGCUCAGGGCGUGCUGCGGGUUCCGGCCGUAAAAAGCCUUAUUUACCCAAGGUUGACCUCGGAUCAGGUAGGAAGACCCGCUGAACUUAAGCAUAUCAAUAAGCGGAGGA